Molecule: ribosomal RNA, 427 nt
Filed under: uncultured bacterium
Lineage: Bacteria
Description: bacterial SSU rRNA
Rfam family: Bacterial small subunit ribosomal RNA
Source: RNAcentral
AUUGAACGCUGGCGGCAUGCUUUACACAUGCAAGUCGAACGGUAACAGGCCUUCGGGUGCUGACGAGUGGCGAACGGGUGAGUAAUGCAUCGGAAUCUGCCUCGUUGUGGGGGAUAACGUAGGGAAACUUACGCUAAUACCGCAUACGACCUACGGGUGAAAGUGGGGGACCUUCGGGCCUCACGCGAUGAGAUGAGCCGAUGCCGGAUUAGCUAGUUGGCGGGGUAAAGGCUCACCAAGGCGAAGACGGGUAGCUGGUCUGAGAGGAUGAUCAGCCACACUGGAACUGAGACACGGUCCAGACUCCUACGGGAGGCAGCAGUGGGGAAUAUUGCGCAAUGGGCGAAAGCCUGACGCAGCCACGCCGCGUGAGCGAUGAAGGCCUUCGGUCGUAAGACGUCUGUGGGGAGGAGAAGAAUAAAGACCU